RNAcentral lists this non-coding RNA (45 nucleotides) under Schistosoma margrebowiei. Lineage: Eukaryota; Metazoa; Platyhelminthes; Trematoda; Strigeidida; Schistosomatidae. The record is from RNAcentral.
AUUCAGAUGAAGAGUCCCAAAUAGGACGAAACCCACUUCCUAGAU